This 484-nucleotide ribosomal RNA is filed under the name uncultured Pseudomonas sp. Its description in RNAcentral is "bacterial SSU rRNA". It matches the Rfam family "Bacterial small subunit ribosomal RNA", at positions 30 to 507 of the family's 1533-position model. The record is from RNAcentral. Lineage: Bacteria; Pseudomonadati; Pseudomonadota; Gammaproteobacteria; Pseudomonadales; Pseudomonadaceae.
AUUGAACGCUGGCGGCAGGCCUAACACAUGCAAGUCGAGCGGUUGAAGGAAGCUUGCUUCCUGAUUCAGCGGCGGACGGGUGAGUAAUGCCUAGGAAUCUGCCUGGUAGUGGGGGACAACGUUUCGAAAGGAACGCUAAUACCGCAUACGUCCUACGGGAGAAAGCAGGGGACCUUCGGGCCUUGCGCUAUCAGAUGAGCCUAGGUCGGAUUAGCUAGUUGGUGAGGUAAUGGCUCACCAAGGCGACGAUCCGUAACUGGUCUGAGAGGAUGAUCAGUCACACUGGAACUGAGACACGGUCCAGACUCCUACGGGAGGCAGCAGUGGGGAAUAUUGGACAAUGGGCGAAAGCCUGAUCCAGCCAUGCCGCGUGUGUGAAGAAGGUCUUCGGAUUGUAAAGCACUUUAAGUUGGGAGGAAGGGCAGUCAGCGAAUACCUUGCUGUCUUGACGUUACCGACAGAAUAAGCACCGGCUAACUCUGUG